Molecule: ribosomal RNA, 433 nt
Filed under: uncultured bacterium
Lineage: Bacteria
Description: partial 16S ribosomal RNA
Rfam family: Bacterial small subunit ribosomal RNA
Source: RNAcentral
AACGAACGCUGGCGGCAUGCCUAACACAUGCAAGUCGAACGAGACCUUCGGGUCUAGUGGCGCACGGGUGCGUAACGCGUGGGAACCUGCCCUUAGGUUCGGAAUAACUCCCCGAAAGGGGUGCUAAUACCGGAUAAUGUCUUCGAACCAAAGAUUUAUCGCCUUUGGAUGGGCCCGCGUUGGAUUAGCUAGUUGGUAGGGUAAAAGCCUACCAAGGCGACGAUCCAUAGCUGGUCUGAGAGGAUGAUCAACCACACUGGGACUGAGACACGGCCCAGACUCCUACGGGAGGCAGCAGUGGGGAAUAUUGGACAAUGGGCGAAAGCCUGAUCCAGCAAUGCCGCGUGAGUGAUGAAGGCCUUAGGGUUGUAAAGCUCUUUUACCCGGGAUGAUAAUGACAGUACCGGGAGAAUAAGCUCCGGCUAACUCCGUG